Molecule: long non-coding RNA, 279 nt
Filed under: Elaeis guineensis (African oil palm)
Lineage: Eukaryota; Viridiplantae; Streptophyta; Magnoliopsida; Arecales; Arecaceae
Description: long non-coding RNA (EGUI_LNC066493)
Source: RNAcentral
UGGGCCUCCAAUGAUCAUCCAACUAAUGGACCCAUUAUCAUCUAAAUUAAUAGGAAGAAGUCAUCUAGUUAUCAUCAUAAUUAUCUCAUUUUAAGAAUCUAAUAAUUUAGAGAAUUUAAAAAUUAAUUUAGAGAAAAGAUUGGACCAACUAUUCUUAAUCCUCCCACUGUUCACCAAGUAAGAUCAAAGAAGAUUAAGCUUAAUCUGAUCCAUCCAACUCGUCAUAAAUUUUUUCAUUGACUUCACUAAGUCAUGAAGAGGACUCAAGACUAGCUGGUC